Molecule: transfer RNA, 61 nt
Filed under: Haemaphysalis bispinosa
Lineage: Eukaryota; Metazoa; Arthropoda; Arachnida; Ixodida; Ixodidae
Description: tRNA-Pro
Source: RNAcentral
CAGAAAAUAAUAUAUUCAAGUAUAUAAAUUUUGGAGAUUUAAAGAGAGUAAUCUUUUCUGA